AUUGAACGCUGGCGGCAGGCCUAACACAUGCAAGUCGAACGAGUGGCGGACGGGUGAGUAAUGUCUGGGAAACUGCCUGAUGGAGGGGGAUCACUACUGGAAACGGUAGCUAAUACCGCAUACCAUCUGAUGUGCCCAGCUGGGAUUAGCUAGUAGGGGGGGUAAAGGCUCACCUAGGGGACGAUCCCUAGCUGGUCUGCGAGGAUGACAGGCCAUACUGGAACUGAGACACGGUCCAGACGCCUACGGGAGGCAGCAGUGGGGAAUAUUGCGCAAUGGGGGCAAGCCUGAUGCAGCCAUGCCGCGUGUAUGAAGAAGGCCUUCGGGGUGUAAAGUACUUUCAGCGGGGAGGCGUUACCCGCAGAAGAAGCACCGGCUAACUCCGUGCCAGCCGCCGCGGUAAUAC
RNAcentral lists this ribosomal RNA (406 nucleotides) under uncultured bacterium. Its description in RNAcentral is "partial 16S ribosomal RNA". It matches the Rfam family "Bacterial small subunit ribosomal RNA", at positions 30 to 526 of the family's 1533-position model. The record is from RNAcentral.